GACGAACGCUGGCGGCGUGCUUAACACAUGCAAGUCGAACGGAAAGGCCCUGCUUUUGUGGGGUGCUCGAGUGGCGAACGGGUGAGUAACACGUGAGUAACCUGCCCUUGACUUUGGGAUAACUUCAGGAAACUGGGGCUAAUACCGGAUAGGAGCUCCUGCUGCAUGGUGGGGGUUGGAAAGUUUCGGCGGUUGGGGAUGGACACGUGGCUUAUCAGCUUGUUGGUGGGGUAGUGGCUUACCAAGGCUUUGACGGGUAGCCGGCCUGAGAGGGUGACCGGCCACAUUGGGACAGGGAUGGGGGCAGGAGUGCUACGGGAGGCAGCAGUGGGGAAUAGUGCACAAUGGGCGGAAGCCUGAUGCAGCAACGCCGCGUGCUGGAUGACGGCCUGCGGGGUGUAACCCGCUUUCGCCUGUGACGAAGCGUGAGUGACGGUAAUGGGUAAAGAAGCACCGGCUAACUACGUG
RNAcentral lists this ribosomal RNA (468 nucleotides) under uncultured bacterium. RNAcentral describes it as "partial 16S ribosomal RNA". It matches the Rfam family "Bacterial small subunit ribosomal RNA", at positions 28 to 507 of the family's 1533-position model. The record is from RNAcentral.